AGCAAGGAGCCCCAUGCAGGACUUGAUGCCAAGACAUGGAGUUCAUGACCUGAGCCAAAGGCAGACACUUAACC
Molecule: long non-coding RNA, 74 nt
Organism: Mustela erminea (ermine)
Lineage: Eukaryota; Metazoa; Chordata; Mammalia; Carnivora; Mustelidae
Exons: 3
Source: RefSeq, a predicted model, not a curated record